Molecule: long non-coding RNA, 810 nt
Organism: Mesocricetus auratus (golden hamster)
Lineage: Eukaryota; Metazoa; Chordata; Mammalia; Rodentia; Cricetidae
Exons: 3
Source: RefSeq, a predicted model, not a curated record
UGUGUUGGACAUCAGAUAAGAAAUAAACAGCAUUGUUACUAUAUCGGCACUCCUCCUAGCCCGAGGUACCAGGGAGGACCCUAAGUCGCCUUCAGAAUCCGGACAUGGCUUGGUGCCUCCCUAGCUGUGUGACUGAGGAGACCACUUAAGCUCUUCAGUCUCAGAGGGCUGACUCUGGAGUCACAGAGUGUUUUUCAUAUGUGGAUUACUUCUCUAUGGCUAUUUUGGCCACUUUUUGUUUAGUGUUCAUUUUCUCUGAAACUUGGCUCUCAAGCAGGCUCACCCAGCCAGACCCUGUGGAGAGCGGAAAAAACGAGAUAAAAGGGCCUUCAAGGACCUUAAAGAACCUCCAAGGACCGUGUAGUUUCAUCAUGAGCAAAUCUAAGAUAAACUGGCCCAUGAAACUGGGAAAAUGAGGAUCCCAUUAGACCACGAACAUAAGAUUAGUAUCCUGUGAACCAGCCACAAAUCACGGAGACACGGAUAAGACAAACACCCAAAAGAGCUCUCUUUUAAUCAGAUGGCUCCUGCCGGCAUGAGAUGCCAGAGGUAUUCCUUUCAGUAGAUUCCGGCCUGUGCUGCAUCACCUUGGCAACAAGAUUCAGAGGCAGAGCCCUGGCCUUGAGCUUGUCGGAGUCUCCAACUAGGAGACCUGCAGCCCCUCUCGCUCUCCGGAACGGCAAGUUGUCAUGCCAACCAUUAACUAUAAAACCCAUCUCUCCCUUCUAGGGUUUUAAUUCAAUAACUUUUCAAAUUGGUUCCUUGUGUAAUUCAAUUGGCUUGGAAAUGUAAUAAACGAGUGUAUGUGCA